RNAcentral lists this unclassified non-coding RNA (376 nucleotides) under uncultured bacterium. RNAcentral's name for it is "contains 16S-23S intergenic spacer region". The record is from RNAcentral.
CUCCGGCUUAUCACCGGCGGUUUCCUUAGAGUGCCCAACUAAAUGAUGGCAACUAAGGACGAGGGUUGCGCUCGUUGCGGGACUUAACCCAACAUCUCACGACACGAGCUGGCGACAGCCAUGCAGCACCUGUAUACCGACCUUGCGGGGAGAACAUUUCUGAACUUUUCCGGUAUAUGUCAAGCCUUGGUAAGGUUCUUCGCGUUGCAUCGAAUUAAUCCGCAUGCUCCGCCGCUUGUGCGGGCCCCCGUCAAUUCCUUUGAGUUUUAGCCUUGCGGCCGUACUCCCCAGGCGGAACACUUAACGCGUUGGCUGCGGCACAGAGGGAUUCGACUCCCCCCACACCUAGUGUUCAUCGUUUACGGCGUGGACUACC